Molecule: unclassified non-coding RNA, 1622 nt
Filed under: Hevea brasiliensis (rubber tree)
Lineage: Eukaryota; Viridiplantae; Streptophyta; Magnoliopsida; Malpighiales; Euphorbiaceae
Source: RNAcentral
ACUGACGUCUGCACACCCCUCCUAUGUACAACCAACAACUAACUACUUAAUUAAUUCAAUCAACAAUGUAUAGGUACAAGAUAUGUAUUAGGCCUUCGAAUUAUAUAAUAUCUCAGUCCAAAAUUUGAUUAAUUUAGUUCCCAAAUGUCGGGUCUACUCACGUGAUUAUCUCUGAUUUCAUCCUAAUAAAAAACUUAAAACUAACCAAUUAACUUUAAUUAUAUGUACGGCAAAGUUGGAAAUCUGAUAUGGGUAUCUAUAACCAGUCACUUAGCUCCCGUUUAAUUAUAUAUUUACAAAUUUAAUAAUAGCUUAACUACUGUUUGUGGGGGGCACAGGAAAAUUAUUGAUGAUGGUGGUGGAUACAGGUCCCAUUCCCCAACCCCCACCAAGAAGGAACAGUGUCAACCAUUAAUCAUCAGCAAUAUUGUUGCUUCAAAAAAGGCAAAAUAGCUCCAGCCCUACAUGUCUAAUCAAGUGCUUCUAUCUAAUCUUUUUAUCUUCAUCUUUGGUUUUAUAUGGGUCCCUAAAGUUUCACCUAUAGACCUACACCUACUCACCUACGGCUUUUCUUUUUCUUAACUUUCCAAGCUUCUAUGAGAUCGGGUUAUAGACGGUUACAGCUUUACAUUUAACUUUUUUCUUUUAUCUAUUCUAAUUUUUUUAGUAACAAUAAAUGUAAAUCGUCAACUAACCAUGAAAUACAUGCAAUUGGAGUGAUAAAUUUCGUGAUUUUGGAAAAGAUUAACGGUUCAGAUCAAUUGUAACAUGAGUGUGUUAGGCUCAGGGAACAUUAUCUUUGCCAGAAAAUUAUUCUUAUUAGUGGUGGGUGAGACGUCCUUAUCCGAUAAGCACUCCACUUCAGCACGCAUUAUUGUUAAUGGUUUGAUAAACAAGGAAGAAAAAAACGUGACUGACAGAAGUAUGCCUAAAAUAAUGCUUUGGUGAAAAUAACCUGAUUUAAGCAUCAGUGUUUCUGGAAAUACAUUAAACAGGAAAUAAAUCAGAAUAGAAAAUCGCCAGAGCAGAGAGACAAAUACACUUAUAACUUUCCGGGAAAAAAAGAAUAUGCCAUGUCAAAUCGGACCAAAAAUCUCAUCUAACUAGCUGGAAGACGAGUAUAGUAGCUAGAUCUGGAAAAACCAAACUAAAACUGGUGAAAUGCAAAGUUUAGCUUCUAGCAGUUGUAAAUCUAGUUGAAAUGAUCUCGUAUUUGAUCGAUAAUACCAAAUACUGGAAAUCAUAAACUUAAGAUCCUUCAUGCUUACUCUUGCUCAAUGGAAUAACUAAAUUUGAGGAUCAAAACCAGAGAGAGAAAGGAGCAUCGUAAACUCCGAGCAUUGUUUGACCAACAAAUUCAUCCAUUACAGAACUUAGCACAAAAGGAACGCAUAAUUUUCUCAGAAAUUAAGCAAAAAUCGCAAAAUACUACUUGUAGUAAACAAAUUUUCGAACAUUAAGCUCAUCUAUACGAAUAAAUGCAGUAGAAAACAAACACUGUACAUUGAAUAAGUACACCAAAACUGCUAGCGCAAAACGGCAAAAGAACAAAAACAACAUUUACAGAGAUCAAAUUUAGAACCAUACCUUCCAGAGAGGAAAGGUGAAUUAGCAGUAGUUCG